This 881-nucleotide ribosomal RNA is filed under the name uncultured Planctomycetota bacterium. RNAcentral's name for it is "bacterial SSU rRNA". It matches the Rfam family "Bacterial small subunit ribosomal RNA", at positions 8 to 879 of the family's 1533-position model. The record is from RNAcentral. Lineage: Bacteria; Pseudomonadati; Planctomycetota.
AGAGUUUGAUCCUGGCUCAGAAUGAACGUUGGCGGCGUGGAUUAGGCAUGCAAGUCGUGCGCGAUUCUACGGAUUGAAGCUUCGGCCGAUUGAAGUAGUUAAAAGCGGCGAAAGGGAGAGUAACGCGUGGAUAUCUGCCCUUGGCUCCAGGAUAGCUACGGGAAACUGUAGGUAAUACUGGAUAAUAUCUCCGGAUCAAAGGUGUGAUUCCGGCCGAGGAUGAGUCCGCGUCCUAUUAGGUUGUUGGUGGGGUAACGGCCCACCAAGCCGAAGAUGGGUACCGGGUGUGAGAGCAUGGCCCGGCUCACUGGGACUGAGACACUGCCCAGACGUCUACGGACGGCUGCAGUCGAGAAUCUUCCGCAAUGGACGAAAGUCUGACGGAGCGACGCCGCGUGCGGGAUGAAGGCCUUCGGGUUGUAAACCGCUGUCAGUUGGGAGGAAAUGCUAUGGGGUUCUCUCCAUAGUUUGACCGAUCUUCAGAGGAAGUACGGGCUAAGUACGUGCCAGCAGCCGCGGUAACACGUACCGUACGAACGUUAUUCGGAAUCACUGGGCUUAAAGAGUCCGUAGGCGGCUUGAAAGGUGAGGUGUGAAAUCCCACGGCUUAACCGUGGAACUGCGCUUCAAACCAUCAAGCUAGAGGGAGAUAGAGGAAAGCGGAACUGAUGGUGGAGCGGUGAAAUGCGUUGAUAUCAUCAGGAACACCGGUGGCGAAAGCGGCUUUCUGGGUCUCUUCUGACGCUGAGGGACGAAAGCUAGGGGAGCGAACGGGAUUAGAUACCCCCGGUAGUCCUAGCUGUAAACGAUGAGCACUAGUUCGAGGGGGACCCCCACAUCCUCUUGGACGUAGCGAAAGUGUUAAGUGCUCCGCCUGGGGA